UAUUUGUUACUGUACAUACUUGAAGUUUUUUGUUAUACUAUAGUACCAUAUUUGUUGCUGUACAUACUUGAAGGUUUUUGCUAUGUUAUGUUACCAUAUUUGUUACCGUACAUACUUGAAGCUUUCUGCAUUCUCUUUUAUUAUACAUACUUGAAGUUAUUUUUGCA
This is a long non-coding RNA of Cucurbita moschata (crookneck pumpkin), 167 nucleotides long. RefSeq lists it as uncharacterized. The record is from RefSeq and is a predicted model, not a curated record. NCBI's taxonomy places the organism in Eukaryota, Viridiplantae, Streptophyta, Magnoliopsida, Cucurbitales, Cucurbitaceae. The transcript is spliced from 2 exons.